This 497-nucleotide ribosomal RNA is filed under the name uncultured bacterium. RNAcentral's name for it is "partial 16S ribosomal RNA". It matches the Rfam family "Bacterial small subunit ribosomal RNA", at positions 28 to 507 of the family's 1533-position model. The record is from RNAcentral.
GAUGAACGCUGGCGGCGUGCCUAAUACAUGCAAGUCGAGCGAACAGACGAGGCGCUUGCUCCUUUGACGUUAGCGGCGGACGGGUGAGUCACACGUGGGUAACCUACCUAUAAGACUGGGAUCACUUCGGGACACCGGAGCUAAUACCGUAUAAUAUUUCGCACCGCAUGGUUCGAUAGUGAAAGAUGGCUCUGCUGUCACUUAUAGAUGGACCUGCGCCGUAUUAGCUAGUUGGUAAGGUAACGGCUUACCACGGCAACGAUACGUAGCCGACCUGAGAGGGUGAUCGGCCACACUGGAACUGAGACGCGGUCCAGACUCCUACGGGAGGCAGCAGAAGGGAAUCUUCCGCAAUGGGCGAAAGCCUGACGGAGCAACGCCGCGUGAGUGAUGAAGGUCUUCGGAUCGUAAAACUCUGUUACUAGGGAAGAACAAACGUGUAAGUAACUGUGCACGUCGUGACGGUACCUAAUCAGAAAGCCACGGCUAACUACGUG